Molecule: long non-coding RNA, 1348 nt
Organism: Wyeomyia smithii (pitcher-plant mosquito)
Lineage: Eukaryota; Metazoa; Arthropoda; Insecta; Diptera; Culicidae
Exons: 4
Source: RefSeq, a predicted model, not a curated record
AGCAAGCAGUCGUAAACUAGAUGUACUGCGAUUAUUUUCACAAAUUCUGAACUGAAAAUCGUGUUGCUAAGCAGCCGAAACAAAGUUACAAGCCAUUUCAUACCAUUUUUUCUUGCUGAGAAGCAGAAAAGUUUGAGUUUUGUUGGAUGUAGCGUAUACUUGUUCUUCGAAGGAAGUUAGCUAUGAUGUCGCAUACAAUCUAGUUUGUUCAGAAGGCCGCAACCGCAAUUCGGAGACCACCUACAAUGUGACUACGAGAGCGUCACAAAGGUUGUCAGUUGUUAGCUUUCGAAGAUCAGCUAACGGAUCUGUUUAAUGCACCAAAAAUUGUUGGUCGAUUGUGCGCCAUACACUAAGAAAUAGAUUAAGGAGAAAAUUUACAUUCUGCUAAGGCCUUCCCUAUGAAAUAGAAGAUGGCUGAAGUUGGAGCUCGAUCGCACGAGAUGGAAAAAACAGCUUGCACACAGAUUUGACAUGAUUUGAUUUGUGGUAGACGAGAUGUGCACUCUAGAACACCACAGGUUUAGAUGCAAAAAACCUUUAGAAAUAUUUAACAAUCCUACUCAAAAUGCAUAAAUAUGCUCCUGAACAAUCAGUAUAUUUAUUGCUUCUUCGGCAGCCGAGCAGGAGAGUCGUUUUUCUUAUAUGCUCUGCAGAAUUUCCGAAUUAACUCCCGCUAUUUUUAGCGUUCGCGUGUGCAGUGAGUGCUAGUGCCCGUUUUAGACGCGAGAGCUGAAAGGUGUCGUGCUGGUCCAGCAACAGUGAAGAAACGAUUCAACUGUUAGUGGAACCCUGACGGGGAAAGGUUGGCGGCGCUGUCGUUCAGCAGACAUUCAGUGCGGCGGCAACGCAACACAUAAGGCGUGUGUAGUGUGUGGUAGUGGCGUCUUACCAGCGUAGCGGCGUUUUUGGCGUGAGAGCUGAAAGGUGUCGUGCUUACUCGGCUUCAUAUUGCUCGUCCCGCAGCAGCUUCCAUCAAGCUAGGUACCAAAAACCGUUCUAGGUGCAAAGAACCGAUUCAAAAAACUAAAACCGUUGCAGCCGUCAUGCCAACACACAAUUUCACCCACCGUAGAUAAAAAUACAGCUAACGACAUCUAACCGCCACUGGAAAAGUAGCAAAUGUUAGAACCACAAACAGACGUCACUUGUACACUAGCGCCGCGUGGUAAUCUUAUUGCUAAAAUAUACUUUCUGACGUAGAGCUACGUCUCUGAGGAAGUUCGGCUACAUCGGAAUUAAAAAAGAAAUUUUAAAACCGGAAAAAGUUAAGAAUAUGUUUAAUUUUAAAUGUUAAUAAAUCAGUUAGUUUUCGUUGCUCCCAAAUGCAGAAAAUUAUAAUUUUAUU